Phyllosticta citriasiana is the source of this 107-nucleotide non-coding RNA. NCBI's taxonomy places the organism in Eukaryota, Fungi, Ascomycota, Dothideomycetes, Botryosphaeriales, Phyllostictaceae. The record is from the annotation of a GenBank genome assembly.
GCGGGGUUAGUGUAGUUAGUUAUCACGUCAGUCUAACAUACCAGUUCUAAGCAAUUAGAACUCUUGAAGAGCACUGAAGGUCGCGAGUUCAAGUCUCGCAUCCCGUA